This 427-nucleotide ribosomal RNA is filed under the name uncultured bacterium. RNAcentral's name for it is "partial 16S ribosomal RNA". It matches the Rfam family "Bacterial small subunit ribosomal RNA", at positions 355 to 774 of the family's 1533-position model. The record is from RNAcentral.
UGGGGAAUAUUGCACAAUGGGCGCAAGCCUGAUGCAGCCAUGCCGCGUGUAUGAAGAAGGCCUUCGGGUUGUAAAGUACUUUCAGCGGGGAGGAAGGCGAUAAGGUUAAUAACCUUGUCGAUUGACGUUACCCGCAGAAGAAGCACCGGCUAACUCCGUGCCAGCAGCCGCGGUAAUACGGAGGGUGCAAUCGUUAAUCGGAAUUACUGGGCGUAAAGCGCACGCAGGCGGUCUGUCAAGUCGGAUGUGAAAUCCCCGGGCUCAACCUGGGAACUGCAUUCGAAACUGGCAGGCUAGAGUCUUGUAGAGGGGGGUAGAAUUCCAGGUGUAGCGGUGAAAUGCGUAGAGAUCUGGAGGAAUACCGGUGGCGAAGGCGGCCCCCUGGACAAAGACUGACGCUCAGGUGCGAAAGCGUGGGGAGCAAACA